CAGGAGGACAGCCUGGAGGCAACCCCGGAACCGCAGCCUGGCUCUGUCAGAGCUUUGUAAAGACGCAGCCUCCAGCGAGCGAUCCGCUGCUCCGCUCGUUCCGCAACGUCGGUUCCUCGUUUGGGAGGAAUGUGUGUUGUCUUCACGGAGUCUCGGAUGAUUAGCACCUCCUUCGAUGGAGUUUGUUCUAGGCGCUGAGCCAUACAUUCUGCGUAGUACAUGUCGGGACUCACGUUACAUACAAGUACGCGUGGACAAGAUCUUUACGUCGUGAGGUCAUUGUCCUACUUGAUGGUCUCAGUGACAGCAAGGUCAGGUUGCCCAAUGUUUGUCUAAGGACUUUUUAUACAUUUUUUUAAAUGUUUAUUUUUUGAGCGAGAGAGAGAGACAGCACAAGUGGGGGAGGGGCAGAGAGAGGGAGACACAGAAUCCGAAGCAGGCUCCAGGCUCCGAGCUGUCAGCCCAGAGUCCGACCCCCGGGCUUGAACUCACUAACCAGGAGAUCAUGAGCUGAGCUGAAGUCAGGAGCUUCACCGACCGCACCACCCAGGCGCCCCAGGACACAGAGCUUCUGGCUUUAGAUUGUGUGACCACUGUGGCCCCACCGGGCAGGCACCCCUCCCCACCUCCUCGUUGGUCCAGUCAGCUGAGCUGCAGGCUGGAGGGCACCCCGGAAGCAGGGUCUGUGUGGUGGGGGGCACAAGGUGGGUAGAAACUGCACCUGGGCUGCAGUAGGUCCCCCACGGGAAAGUCUCCAGCAACAAACCUGGUGUUUUUCACCAUCGGAGAGAUUCUCUUUUUCUCAUGGAAAAAUCCAGGCGAACAGAGGUUAUCCACACCACGGGUCAAGCGGUGAGGUCAUUAUUGCUUUAGCUCUGGGGGGGGGGUGUCUCUGACAUGAGGUUGGGAUGGAACCACACCGUCACUCGGCAUAGACUUCUAGGUCCUGGAUGGAGAGUGAGAGGGAGGCCCCAGCCCUGGGCGUGGGGCCCAGAGCCCUGCACAGGUGGUGUGGUUCACCUGUCCCGUUACCAGGAAGUUUACGGACUAUGGCCGUGGGACAUCAGUGUGACCGCAGGUAUAAUGAAGGAGGCUACGGAAAGCAGAGCGUCCCCUCCAACCAACCGACACUGCAUGGGCGAUCGUGCGUUUUUCUGCACAGAAUUCCAUUUACUUACACAUCACGGACAUUCUCUGGCCCUACAGUGGGCAUCAGCUUCAGCUUCCUGUACUAACUACCCCCAAAUGAUCCAGGAAAGCAGGAAGUCCUCACUUCUAAGAAGCUGGAAGUUAACAGUCCCCAGGUGAGGACUCCAGGAUAGGAGCUGGUUUCUUAGCCGUCCCCACACCUGGGAGCACAGGGAAGGGAAGGAACCCCAGUCCUUGGGGAGCACAGAGAAAGGAGAGGACCUCAGUGGUCCUCGGGGAGCACAGAGAAAGGAAGGAACCCGGGUCCCCCGAGCACAGAGAAGGGAAGGAGAAGUAGCUUCAAAGGGCCUUUUGAGGAAGAGGAGCGGGGAGAGGGACACGAUGCAGGCCUCUGGGGUGACCAGGCAGAAGACACUUACCAAUGUCCUGUGAAAGCCAUGGGGGAUGUCCUGGGGGUCUAAGGAGAGCGUGGGCCCUGGAGGCAGGACGCAGCCCACACUGCGGUCCCCCACCACGCUCCUGGUUCACUGGCCUCCUGACUGAGCGGGACAGAAAAGCCCUUUACGCCCCUGGGAUCCCUCUCUCCGCACCCCGGGGUGAGCCGGCCUGGUAGGGGGGGGCCCAGUGGCCUCCAGAGAGAGCCUCAGGGAAGCUGAAUGGACGCGGGGCCUGUGGACGGCAGAUGGGGUCCGGGACCCGGGGUGGGGAGUUCUGUCCUAGUUUGUGCCGGGUCCACAGAGACCAGAGGCCAGGCCUCAGGUCACCAUGGACACAGUGCCUCCCCCACACACCAGUGCACACCCUGCACAUCCUUCCUGUCUGGCAC
RNAcentral lists this long non-coding RNA (1975 nucleotides) under Felis catus (domestic cat). RNAcentral's name for it is "lncRNA (ENSFCAG00000047454.1)". The record is from RNAcentral. Lineage: Eukaryota; Metazoa; Chordata; Mammalia; Carnivora; Felidae.